AGCUUUCCACAGUGGUGUUGUCUUAGCUAAUGAGGUUUAUCCCAGGUGUGAUUAUUGCUAAUUGAAAACUUUUCCAAAUGCGGCCCAGUAACAGCUUGAUAUAUAGUUGGCAUGGGAAAUUUUUCACAGUCUCUAUGGGA
RNAcentral lists this small nuclear RNA (140 nucleotides) under Chinchilla lanigera (long-tailed chinchilla). Its description in RNAcentral is "U4 spliceosomal RNA (ENSCLAG00000020994.1)". It matches the Rfam family "U4 spliceosomal RNA". Rfam says of the family: U4 small nuclear RNA (U4 snRNA) is a component of the major U2-dependent spliceosome. Lineage: Eukaryota; Metazoa; Chordata; Mammalia; Rodentia; Chinchillidae. The record is from Rfam by way of RNAcentral.